AGAGUUUGAUCAUGGCUCAGCCUGAACGCUGGCGGCGUGGCUAAGACAUGCAAGUCGUACGGGUGUAGUAAUACACCAGUGGCGAACGGGUGAGUAAUGUAUCGCUAACGUGCCCUCCGGUUUGGGAUAGCCGUCCGAAAGGACGGGUAAUACCAGUUAAGACCACAAUCCCGCAUGGGAUGGUGCUCAAAGGGAAACCGCCGAAGGAGCGGGCGAUAUCGUAUCAGCUAGUUGGUGAGGUAACGGCUCACCAAGGCGACGACGCGUAGCCGGGCUGAGAGGUCGGCCGGCCACAUUGGGACUGAGACACUGCCCAGACUCCUACGGGGGGCUGCAGUAACGAAUCUUCCGCAAUGCACGCAAGUGUGACGGAGCGACGCCGCGUGGAGGACGAAGUUCUUCGGAAUGUAAACUCCUGUCAGGGGCAGCCAAGUUCUGAGGCGCCCCAGAGGAGGGCACGGCUAACUCUGUGCCAGCAGCCGCGGUAAGACAGAGGUGCCAAGCGUUAGGCGGAAUCACUGGGCUUAAAGCGUGUGUAGGCGGGCGGGCAAGUACCUUGUGAAAUCCCACGGCUCAACCGUGGAACGGCUGGGUAUACUGCCUGUCUUGAGCCAGCUAGGGGCGACCGGAACAGACGGUGGAGCGGUGAAAUGCGUAGAUAUCGUCUGGAACGCCAAAGGUGAAAACAGGUCGCUGGGGCUGAGCUGACGCUGAGACACGAAAGCCAGGGGAGCGAACGGGAUUAGAUACCCUAGUAGUCC
Molecule: ribosomal RNA, 761 nt
Filed under: uncultured bacterium
Lineage: Bacteria
Description: bacterial SSU rRNA
Rfam family: Bacterial small subunit ribosomal RNA
Source: RNAcentral